UACCUGGUGGCGAGCGGCGGACGGGUGAUAAUGCCUAGGAAUCUGCCUGGUAGUGGGGGAUAACGCUCGGAAACGGACGCUAAUACCGCAUACGUCCUACGGGAGAAAGCAGGGGACCUUCGGGCCUUGCGCUAUCAAAUGAGCCUAGGUCGGAUUAGCUAGUUGGUGAGGUAAUGGCUCACCAGGGGGGCGAUCCGUAACUGGUCUGAGAGGAUGAUCAGUCACACUGGAACUGAGACACGGUCCAACUCCUACGGGGAGGCAGCAGUGGGAAAUAUUGGACAAGGGGGCGAAAGCCUGAUCCAGCCAUGGCGCGUGUGUGAAGAAGGUCUUCGGAUUGUAAAGCACUUUAAGUUGGGAGGGAGGGCAGUUACCUAAUACGUGAUUGUUUUGACGUUACCGACAGAAUAAGCACCGGCUAACUCUGUGCGGGGCGGGGCGCGGUAAUACAGAUGGUGCAAGCGUUAAUCGGGAAUUACUGGGCGUAAAGCGCGCGUA
Molecule: ribosomal RNA, 498 nt
Filed under: Pseudomonas sp.
Lineage: Bacteria; Pseudomonadati; Pseudomonadota; Gammaproteobacteria; Pseudomonadales; Pseudomonadaceae
Description: bacterial SSU rRNA
Rfam family: Bacterial small subunit ribosomal RNA
Source: RNAcentral